UUUAUUUUGAGAGAGACGACCAUUAUGUAAUGAAGCGAGAGAUAAUUUUGCUUAUAUAUAAAUAUGUAACACCUUUCACUACGCUUGAAAAUACGAAUCGUGAUGAAAUUAUUAAACCUUACACCAUAGUUGAUUAUGAGAACUAUGGUGAUAUAUAAGGUCAAGUCCAUUAUGUCACGAAUUGGGAUUCAAACCCUUUCACUCUAGAUACAUUUCACUACGGUUGUUAACUAUGACUGUAGUGAAA
RNAcentral lists this long non-coding RNA (247 nucleotides) under Lathyrus oleraceus (garden pea). RNAcentral describes it as "Pisum sativum (pea) long non-coding RNA (PSAT_LNC025986)". The record is from RNAcentral. Lineage: Eukaryota; Viridiplantae; Streptophyta; Magnoliopsida; Fabales; Fabaceae.